GAAGAUCAGUGAGCAGUAAAUGCAUGGUGAAAGCGUAUCUAACAUAAUCAAGUCUAAUUGAAAAAGCAAUAUAAACAGUAGUGGAAAGUUUGUUUCACACAAAUUGCAAAAGCUUCCAAUCCAACUAAAGGAAGUAGGACCAGCACAAUUAAAGAAAUGCACUGUUGACGGAAAACCACUAGUUCAAAUUUCAGAAAAUGGAUUUGUGAGAGUCUAUUAGGUAUGUCUUCAGAAAUCCAUAGUUAAAAGAAAUGAUUCGACCAAAUCAGUGGUUGCAGUCAUAUUGAAAAUGAUGAUGGACUCAUUCCAGCAUCAAUAUCCACGACAAUGCUUUGGACAACAAGAAAAGGGUAAAGGCUUGAUCAGACUAUUCUUAUGAUUAUGUAUAUCUCAAGGAGGACUUGCUGC
RNAcentral lists this unclassified non-coding RNA (408 nucleotides) under Hevea brasiliensis (rubber tree). Lineage: Eukaryota; Viridiplantae; Streptophyta; Magnoliopsida; Malpighiales; Euphorbiaceae. The record is from RNAcentral.